Non-coding RNA from Theobroma cacao (cacao), 164 nucleotides. The record is from RefSeq and is a predicted model, not a curated record. Lineage: Eukaryota; Viridiplantae; Streptophyta; Magnoliopsida; Malvales; Malvaceae.
CAAGGGAAAAGUGUGAAAAUUCAAGUAAUCAAGCAAUCAAAGGUGGUGAAUCCUUCGAUAAAGGUAAAAAAAUUGUACCCGAUGAUCGAUAGUCAGAGUACUCUAAAAAUUUGACUUUCGAAAUACUUGCUGCAGUGGGCGAGUUCUGUGGACCAGCGUAUUAG